GUUCCUGUAGUUAAAUUUGAUAACGAUGGCUUUUCAUGCCAUUGAUCUUGGAGAAAAGCCAAGUGGGAAUU
RNAcentral lists this transfer RNA (71 nucleotides) under Dasyornis broadbenti (rufous bristle-bird). It matches the Rfam family "tRNA". Rfam says of the family: Transfer RNA (tRNA) molecules are approximately 80 nucleotides in length. Their secondary structure includes four short double-helical elements and three loops (D, anti-codon, and T loops). Lineage: Eukaryota; Metazoa; Chordata; Aves; Passeriformes; Dasyornithidae. The record is from Rfam by way of RNAcentral.